Molecule: unclassified non-coding RNA, 242 nt
Filed under: uncultured fungus
Lineage: Eukaryota; Fungi
Description: sequence contains ITS1
Source: RNAcentral
UAUAUUUAUUAUUUCAACAUUCUAAAACACACAAAGAGGUUGUGAAAAUGACAUAGACCUGGGAAGAUGCAAAGGUAAAAGCCGACUUUCAACAGAAGCACAGCAGUUCCAAAACUCCAGGUCUACAAUAUGUGCACAGUUGGAGAAAUAAAGAUGACAAGCGUGCACGAUGCCCAGAAGGCCAGCAACAGCCUGUGCAAGUUUAUUCAAUAAUGAUCCUUCCGCAGGUUCACCUACGGAAA